This 414-nucleotide unclassified non-coding RNA is filed under the name Mikania microcephala. RNAcentral describes it as "partial contains external transcribed spacer and 18S ribosomal RNA". The record is from RNAcentral. Lineage: Eukaryota; Viridiplantae; Streptophyta; Magnoliopsida; Asterales; Asteraceae.
UUGUUAUGUUGCUGGUGGUUGGCUCUUUGCUUGUGCAACAACUUCCACCUGACAUACCUUUUCAUUUGACUGAUAAGGCUUCUAUUGCCAAAUCAGUCUGUGGGUUUCUUGUGUUGCCUACCGAUCAUAAGGUACUUUUGUUGGCUGGUGUAAGUUUGUUUUGUCUUGUCUUGUACUAUAUGAGAUCAGAUGAACCAUAAGGCAUCUCUUUGAGCCACACAUCUAAUGCUUGUGUGAUGUUGUGGUGCAUUGAUGUUUGCUUGGUAUCUUUGAUAUGGAAAUUGAUGUGGGCAUGGGUUUCAUGAGUUCCUUUUAUGUCCUGGUUUAGCGUUUACGCUUCUCUUAAACGACUGCUCAACUUGCAUUGGCUCGUACCAGUGUGUUGGGUUAUGUCGAAGAGGAAAGUUACCUGGU